Molecule: ribosomal RNA, 255 nt
Filed under: uncultured bacterium
Lineage: Bacteria
Description: partial 16S ribosomal RNA
Rfam family: Bacterial small subunit ribosomal RNA
Source: RNAcentral
GACGUAGGGGGCAAGCGUUGUCCGGAUUUAUUGGGCGUAAAGAGCUCGUAGGCGGCUCAGAAAGUCGGGUGUGAAACCUCCAGGCUCAACCUGGAGACGCCACCUGAUACUGCUGUGGCUAGAGUCCGGUAGGGGAGCACGGAAUUCCCGGUGUAGCGGUGAAAUGCUUAGAUAUCGGGAGGAACACCAGUGGCGAAGGCGGUGCUCUGGGCCGGAACUGACGCUGAGGAGCGAAAAGCGUGGGUAGCAAACAGG